GCUGCUGAACUGUACAUUAUAUAUAUAUGUGUGUGUGUGUGUGUGUGUGUAUAUAUAUAUAUAUACACACACACACACACAUAUAUAUAUGUACAUAUA
RNAcentral lists this microRNA precursor (99 nucleotides) under Marmota monax (woodchuck). Lineage: Eukaryota; Metazoa; Chordata; Mammalia; Rodentia; Sciuridae. The record is from RNAcentral.